This 155-nucleotide ribosomal RNA is filed under the name Ophiocordyceps sinensis. RNAcentral's name for it is "5.8S ribosomal RNA". It matches the Rfam family "5.8S ribosomal RNA". Rfam says of the family: 5.8S ribosomal RNA (5.8S rRNA) is a component of the large subunit of the eukaryotic ribosome. It is transcribed by RNA polymerase I as part of the 45S precursor that also contains 18S and 28S rRNA. Functionally, it is thought that 5.8S rRNA may be involved in ribosome translocation. The record is from RNAcentral. Lineage: Eukaryota; Fungi; Ascomycota; Sordariomycetes; Hypocreales; Ophiocordycipitaceae.
AACUUUCAACAACGGAUCUCUUGGUUCUGGCAUCGAUGAAGAACGCAGCGAAAUGCGAUAAGUAAUGUGAAUUGCAGAAUUCAGUGAACCAUCGAAUCUUUGAACGCACAUUGCGCCCGCCAGCACUCUGGCGGGCAUGCCUGUCCGAGCGUCAU